AUCAGCGGGGGUGCCCUUCGGGGCUGAGAUCAUACCCUUUGAACCUGAACGGGUUAUGCCGGCGCAGGGAAGCAGACAAU
RNAcentral lists this non-coding RNA (80 nucleotides) under bovine gut metagenome. Its description in RNAcentral is "TPP riboswitch (THI element)". It matches the Rfam family "TPP riboswitch aptamer (THI element)", at positions 6 to 97 of the family's 105-position model. From Rfam's summary of the family: Vitamin B(1) in its active form thiamin pyrophosphate (TPP) is an essential coenzyme that is synthesised by coupling of pyrimidine and thiazole moieties in bacteria. The record is from RNAcentral.